RNA transcript from Zingiber officinale, 3403 nucleotides. It is a transcript of the gene named ATP-dependent DNA helicase Q-like 5, with no coding region annotated. The transcript has 22 exons. Lineage: Eukaryota; Viridiplantae; Streptophyta; Magnoliopsida; Zingiberales; Zingiberaceae. The record is from RefSeq and is a predicted model, not a curated record.
GGGGAUGUGGAAAGGAACCGCCGCCAUUGCCGUUAUCUUUCUCUUCCUCCUCUCAUCAUCAUCGUCGCAAUGGAUUCCGGAUCUGAUUCCGACGCCUCACACAUCUCCGCCACGCCUCCCCGGAACCCUAUUCCCGAUCCCCCCAAGCCUGGAUUUAGGGUUCCCAACCCUCCGAAGCUCAGCCACAGACCCAAAUCGAUCCCCCGGAAUCCUUCCAAAUCCAAGAUCAGAUCGACCCCUAAGAGUUCGGAUCCCCCUGCGCCGGAGGUUUCCCUCUCCGAAGAACUCGCCAACCUACAUGGUAUGCCCGUCGUCAACGUUUCGCAGCUUGCUUACGUGCCCGAUCGGUCCGCCUCUUUCUCACGCCUCGUUUUGUCCCGGCGGCCCUCCAUCGACCCUUCUGAAUUCUUAAUUGGUGGCCGAGGCGAAUCUUCUAGUGAUUUCGUCGCGAGUUCCAGCAGUGGAGAGGCUUCCUUAAAGGUGCCGGAGAGACCUAAGCGCUCACGGCCAAAUGGAGUCAGGUUCAUUGCUCCGGUAGAGCAGCUGAAGCGGCCGGAUUGUGUUGCAGAAGUCAAAGGUAGACCUUGUGAUGCUGCCGUGGGAAGGCCUGAUGAUGGCAAGACCAUUUUGAACGAGAAAGUAAAUCCCAGGCGCGUGCAUUCUAAUUUUGUUGGAUUUGGCGAGUCAAGGGAGCCGGCUAAACUGCCAAAGAACGGCAGGGAGGGAAAUUUUGUUCGCCUGAAUAUAAAUGGUCGUGGGAGGAGAUUCACCUUUAAGAAUCGGAGUAAUAAUGGGCGUUCCAUCUCCUCUCGAAGUCGCAGAUAUCGUCGGAAACCUGUAGCGGGAAAACAUGAGACUCCAGCGGGAGAUGAUUUUGAUUCCGGCAUUCUGGUUGAGCAGAGACGAAGUUCAAAUUGUAGCAAUCAGUUACUUGAAGAGGCCGUAACAGUUGCUGGAGAGCAUCCAUCGGAUGAAAACUUGCUGAGAUUGCUGAAGCUUACUCAUGGUUACGAUUCAUUCCGUGAGGGGCAGCUAGAAUCGAUCAAGCGGGUGGUUGCAGGGGAAUCAACAAUGCUGAUGCUGCCAACUGGUGCUGGAAAGUCAUUGUGCUAUGAGCUACCAGCUUUGAUAUUACCUGGAGUGACAUUGGUUGUGAGUCCUCUGGUCGCCUUGAUGAUGGAUCAGUUAAGAAAGCUACCUUCUGUAAUACCUGGUGGUCUUUUUUCCAGCACCCAGACAAUUGAGGAGGCUUCUGAAACCCUGAGAAGGCUUCACGAGGGAACUAUCAAGGUGCUUUUUGUCUCCCCUGAGAGACUUCUAAAUGCAGAAUUCUUAUCAUUAUUUGUGGAUGGACUGUCUAUAUCAGUUCUAGUCAUUGAUGAAGCUCACUGCAUUUCUGAAUGGUCACAUAACUUUAGGCCUUCAUAUUUGAGGUUAAAAUCAUCUAUACUUCGAAGAAAGCUCAGUGUUCAGUGCAUCCUUGCCAUGACAGCAACUGCUACAGUCCAAACAUUCCAUGAUAUCACGUGUGCUUUAGAAAUUCAGCCUAGUAACCGUAUUAAGAUAUGCCAAGUAAGAGAAAACUUGCAGCUCUUUGUCACUUUAAGUGAGAAUAGAUUGAAGGAUUUAUUACUUUUGAUGAAGACUUCUCCUUUGACUGACAUGCACAGCAUUAUAGUGUACUGCAAAUUUCAGAAUGAGACUGAUUUAGUGAGCAAGUAUCUAUGUGACAACAAUAUCCCAUCUAAGGCUUACCACAGUGGCAUUCCUGCAAAAAAUCGGGGUCGCAUACAGGAACUUUUCUGUUCCAACAAAUUAAGAGUGGUUGUUGCGACAGUGGCAUUUGGUAUGGGGCUUGAUAAGAGUGAUGUUCAAGCGGUACUGCAUUAUAGCAUGCCAGAAAGCUUGGAAGAAUACAUUCAGGAAACUGGCCGUGCUGGAAGGGAUGGCAAACUGUCUUAUUGUCAUCUCCUCCUAGAUAUCAGUGCUUGCUAUAAGCUUCGCAGUCUAUGUUUCAGUGAUGGUGUGGAUGAAUAUGCAGUAAGCAAAUUUCUUGCUUACAUCUUUUCUAAUGACGUUCACUUAACUGGACAAAUUUGCUCCUUGGUUAAAGAGUCUAUGUCCAGGAAAUUUGAUAUGAAAGAAGAGGUUCUUCUAACAAUCCUUACCCAACUUGAGAUCAGUGAUGAGCAAUACAUUACCCUACUUCCACCACUCAAUGCGACUUGUUCAUUGUAUUUUCAUAAGACGCCCCCCAUGUUACUAGCAGACAAGAAUAUUUUAGUUGCAUCAAUUCUAAACAAAUCCGAAGUGAAGGAUGGGCACUAUGUGUUUGAUAUACCAACAAUAAGCAACAAAAUUCUAGUGGGAACGGUUGAUUUGAUUAAUAUGCUGCAAGACCUAAAGUCUUUAGGGGAAGUAACAUAUGAUUUGAAGGAUCCAGCCUUCUGUUACACAAUUCGGAAGAGACCAGAUGACUAUUGCUGUCUAUCAAUGAAUAUCACGGAAAGGCUCUGUCAAGUUGAAAGAUGCAAGGUACAAAAAUUGGAUGCAAUGUUCAAUGUUGCAUGGUCAGCGGUGAAAGAAUGUAAUGGCGUCAAUGGGUGCUCCAAUUCAUUGCAUACUCCAUGUAUUCAAAGAAAAACUUUGGACUACUUUGAUGGGAAGGAUGAUGCAUUGAAUGAUGUUGCAUUGUUUAAGAUGGCACGGAAAAGUCCAUUUUUGGGAGCAGAUAUAAAGGUGUUUCUAAGAAGUAAUUCAUGUAUGAAUUUUACCCCAAGGGCAGUUGCGCGAAUUAUGCACGGCAUCAGUAGCCCAGCUUUUACUUCUUCAUUUUGGUCCAAAAGCCAUUUCUGGGGACGAUAUGUGGAGGUUGAUUUUGCAAUUGUUAUGGAAGCUGCAAAAGUAGAACUUAUGAAUUUUGUGGGCAAACAAUCAAAUUGAACAAGUACAUGAAUUAUACAUGACUGGCUAAACAUGUUACUUAUCUUCAUUAUGGCGAUCGCAAGGGCUGCUGCAAAUUGGUUCAAUUGCAAUUACUGCUGCUCGCCGGAAGUUUAGAGAUGAAGAGAGGUAGGCUUGCAGAGGUGAUGGAGACGACAGUGACAAAAUACGUGAGAGAAAUUAUAUCGAAGAGUUGACGGACAGGCCCGGGCUAUAGUUAUCCAUGUUGGAAAUAACACUGGUGUACAAAAUGCGAUAAUUAUUUGUCUGUUAGCUUCAUAUUUUGGGUUCCGGAGACAAACUUGUGAUUGCAAAAGUAGGCUGGUAGAAGUUUAUUAGACAGCUCUGAUGCCCCUGGUAAAACAUUGAGAGGCUGAUGAGAGUUUUAUUAUAACUCUCUCUUUUUUUUUGACCUUUGAUCCAGGAUUCUUUUUUGUACAAUUCUAUUGAUGAAGCAAAC